GUCAGAUUCAGUGGGGUGUGAUCAACUUUGCAAGUGAACUUGUCACAAAGCAAAAAGCAACUUAACUUUCCGGAACUUUCGAGCUUCUUCACGGGCGCAUGGUGUAUGGCCUAUGUCUCAGUUGCAGGCCAGCAAGCACCUGCCUGGCGCCGCUAUGCCUGCCUCAACCGAAAAAAGCCACCCAAAAGUGGGC
Molecule: long non-coding RNA, 193 nt
Organism: Varroa destructor (honeybee mite)
Lineage: Eukaryota; Metazoa; Arthropoda; Arachnida; Mesostigmata; Varroidae
Source: RefSeq, a predicted model, not a curated record